RNAcentral lists this transfer RNA (72 nucleotides) under Arthrobacter phage Atuin. Its description in RNAcentral is "tRNA-Lys". It matches the Rfam family "tRNA". From Rfam's summary of the family: Transfer RNA (tRNA) molecules are approximately 80 nucleotides in length. Lineage: Duplodnaviria; Heunggongvirae; Uroviricota; Caudoviricetes. The record is from RNAcentral.
GCCUCCAUAGCUGAGCGGUUUAGCAACGGACUCUUACUCCGUGGACGUUGGUUCGAUCCCAACUGGGGGCAC